Potamilus streckersoni is the source of this 78-nucleotide non-coding RNA. The record is from the annotation of a GenBank genome assembly. NCBI's taxonomy places the organism in Eukaryota, Metazoa, Mollusca, Bivalvia, Unionida, Unionidae.
GCUCCGGUGGCUUAGUGGUUAGAGCGUCCACCUCCGAUGCGGGAGGUCGUGAGUUCAAACCAAAUCCGAGUCAGAGCA